UACGUAGGGUGCAAGCGUUGUCCGGAAUUAUUGGGCGUAAAGAGCUCGUAGGCGGUUUGUCGCGUCUGCUGUGAAAAUCCAGGGCUUAACCCUGGACCUGCAGUGGGUACGGGCAGACUAGAGUGCGGUAGGGGAGAUCGGAAUUCCUGGUGUAGCGGUGAAAUGCGCAGAUAUCAGGAGGAACACCAAUAGCGAAGGCAGCUCGCUGGGACGUUACUGACACUGAGGCGCGAAAGCGUGGGGAGCGAACAGG
This 253-nucleotide ribosomal RNA is filed under the name uncultured bacterium. RNAcentral's name for it is "partial 16S ribosomal RNA". It matches the Rfam family "Bacterial small subunit ribosomal RNA", at positions 524 to 776 of the family's 1533-position model. The record is from RNAcentral.